RNAcentral lists this ribosomal RNA (253 nucleotides) under uncultured bacterium. Its description in RNAcentral is "partial 16S ribosomal RNA". It matches the Rfam family "Bacterial small subunit ribosomal RNA", at positions 524 to 776 of the family's 1533-position model. The record is from RNAcentral.
UACGGAGGGUGCGAGCGUUGUCCGGAAUCACUGGGCGUAAAGGGCGCGUAGGUGGCGCGGGCAGUCAACGGUGAAAGUUCGGGGCUCAACCCUGAAUCGGCCGUCGAUACUCCUGGGCUUGAGCACUGUAGAGGCAGAUGGAAUUCCGGGUGUAGCGGUGGAAUGCGUAGAGAUCCGGAAGAACACCGGUGGCGAAGGCGGUCUGCUGGGCAGUAGCUGACACUGAGGCGCGACAGCGUGGGGAGCAAACAGG